GAUUGGCUAUACCACUCGGAAGGUGUCCAAUCUCAGAAGCUUAGCAGGUCAGGCCUGAUUAGUACUUGGAUCAGAUAUUGCCUGGGAAUCAAGGGUGUUGUAGGCC
RNAcentral lists this ribosomal RNA (106 nucleotides) under Microtus ochrogaster (prairie vole). The record is from RNAcentral. Lineage: Eukaryota; Metazoa; Chordata; Mammalia; Rodentia; Cricetidae.